RNAcentral lists this ribosomal RNA (254 nucleotides) under uncultured bacterium. RNAcentral describes it as "partial 16S ribosomal RNA". It matches the Rfam family "Bacterial small subunit ribosomal RNA", at positions 524 to 776 of the family's 1533-position model. The record is from RNAcentral.
UACAGAGGUCCCAAGCGUUGUUCGGAUUCACUGGGCGUAAAGGGUGCGUAGGCGGUCGGGUAAGUCUGAUGUGAAAUCUCACAGCUUAACUGUGAAACUGCAUUGGAUACUAUUCGGCUUGAGAGUUGGAGGGGGGACUGGAAUUCUUGGUGUAGCAGUGAAAUGCGUAGAUAUCAGGAGGAACACCGGUGGCGAAGGCGGGUCUCUGGGCAGUAACUGACGCUGAGGAGCGAAAGCGUGGGGGAGCGAACAGG